This 433-nucleotide ribosomal RNA is filed under the name uncultured bacterium. RNAcentral describes it as "partial 16S ribosomal RNA". It matches the Rfam family "Bacterial small subunit ribosomal RNA", at positions 29 to 507 of the family's 1533-position model. The record is from RNAcentral.
AACGAACGCUGGCGGCAUGCCUAACACAUGCAAGUCGAACGAGACCUUCGGGUCUAGUGGCGCACGGGUGCGUAACGCGUGGGAACCUGCCCUUAGGUUCGGAAUAACUCCCCGAAAGGGGUGCUAAUACCGGAUAAUGUCUUCGGACCAAAGAUUUAUCGCCUUUGGAUGGGCCCGCGUUGGAUUAGCUAGUUGGUAGGGUAAAAGCCUACCAAGGCGACGAUCCAUAGCUGGUCUGAGAAGAUGAUCAGCCACACUGGGACUGAGACACGGCCCAGACUCCUACGGGAGGCAGCAGUGGGGAAUAUUGGACAAUGGGCGAAAGCCUGAUCCAGCAAUGCCGCGUGAGUGAUGAAGGCCUUAGGGUUGUAAAGCUCUUUUACCCGGGAUGAUAAUGACAGUACCGGGAGAAUAAGCGCCGGCUAACUCCGUG